GACGAACGCUGGCGGCGUGCUUAACACAUGCAAGUCGAACGGAAAGGCCCUGCUUUUGUGGGGUGCUCGAGUGGCGAACGGGUGAGUAACACGUGAGUAACCUGCCCUUGACUUUGGGAUAACUUCAGGAAACUGGGGCUAAUACCGGAUAGGAGCUCCUGCUGCAUGGUGGGGGUUGGAAAGUUUCGGCGGUUGGGGAUGGACUCGCGGCUUAUCAGCUUGUUGGGGGGGUAGUGGCUUACCAAGGCUUUGACGGGUGGCCGGCCUGCGAGGGUGACCGGCCACAUUGGGACUGAGAUACGGCCCAGACUCCUACGGGAGGCAGCAGUGGGGAAUAUUGCACAAUGGGCGGAAGCCUGAUGCAGCAACGCCGCGUCCUGGAUGACGGCCUUCGGGUUGUAAACCGCUUUCGCCUGUGACGAAGCGUGAGUGACGGUAAUGUGUAAAGAAGCACCGGCUAACUACGUG
Molecule: ribosomal RNA, 468 nt
Filed under: uncultured bacterium
Lineage: Bacteria
Description: partial 16S ribosomal RNA
Rfam family: Bacterial small subunit ribosomal RNA
Source: RNAcentral